This 384-nucleotide long non-coding RNA is filed under the name Dasypus novemcinctus (nine-banded armadillo). Its description in RNAcentral is "lncRNA (ENSDNOG00000051723.1)". Lineage: Eukaryota; Metazoa; Chordata; Mammalia; Cingulata; Dasypodidae. The record is from RNAcentral.
UGGGAGAGGCUGCUUGCCAUGCCAGUGUGAUGAGCAAGGGCACAGAAGGACCAUGCUCAGGAGACAACGAGCAGAUGGGCCUCUCUGAAAGACAGGGCAGGUGAAAAAAAUGCUCCGCCUCUUUGCAGUCUUCUCCUGCUCCCUCCCUCUCUGGUGUGGCAGGUGUUCUACCACAGGUUGGAGAAGGAGACAAGGCGCUGCUGCAGGACACCCCCGGAAGGCAGAAUCAAGGGGAGGUUUCAGUGGGGUCUUUUUGGUCUGGCUCACAUUCAUAAGCAGUGACAUCAUUUAGCAUCUGCUGCUAGUCCAAAACCCACCAAGCACAUGUAUUUUGAAUCUUUUAGGUUUUUCAGUAUCUAUUUACUGAGUGUCUGUGAAAAUGCA